RNAcentral lists this transfer RNA (61 nucleotides) under Thalassina squamifera. RNAcentral's name for it is "tRNA-Cys". The record is from RNAcentral. Lineage: Eukaryota; Metazoa; Arthropoda; Malacostraca; Decapoda; Thalassinidae. RNAcentral also lists the same sequence under 1 other name.
GGUCCUACGGUAGAAGAACGUUAAAUUGCAAAUUUAAAGAUGUGCAAAAGCACUGGGGCUU